AACUUAAACCAAUGGUGAAUGCCCAGCAUACAAUAACAACCAUGGCUGCACCAUCUGGACACUCUCUUGGCCAACGAGACGGCCAUGGCCUACGCUACCUGAAGAUCUAGAAACACAAGAUAUCUACCAAAAGUUACUGAGCAAACUGCGAUCAGCACUGGUGGAGGUGGAAACGUGUGUUGCCCAGAUUGAUGAGAACGUAAAACAGAGAUGCUGAUAACUUCAGAGUGUGAUAAUGAAAAGGGAGAGAAGAAUGGCAAGCGGGUCUGCUUCCAUGUGGCUGGUGAGGAACAAGAAGAUUCAGGGCAUGACACCAUCAGCAACAGAGAUUCCUACAGCGAUUGUAACAGCAAUAGAAACUCCAUUGCUUUGUUUACAAGUAUCUGCAGCAGCCAGUGCAGUUCUUACCUCCAGAGCGACGAAAUGGAUUCUGGUAAGAUCUUUUGCUGCUCAUGUUUUCUACUCAUGAAUGAUUUUAUUUGCUUUCCUUACCCUCCCCAUGCUUCAGACACACUAAUCCCCUUUGCAUGGCUGUGCAUUGAAAAGGCCAAUAACUGCAGUAAUAUAAAUUCCUAACAGUACAGAAAGCCUAAGAAAAUGAUAGUAAAACUAUUUCAUAUACAGAUAUAUUUUGUACUGAAAACCUGGACUACCUGUAUGUAAUGGUAAAGGUAUAUAUUAUAUUUGUGUAAAACUCAGGUUGAUUUGUUUUCCCUCAUAUUCUGGGGUAUCACAAGAUACUGUAUGGAGCACAUGGCAUUAAAGAUCUGCCUCCUUUAUUAGCUUCUUUGGCUAGUGUGACAUGUUGAGUUGUAAGAGUCUUGCAACCACUAGUGCCACCUGAUAAAAUGGGUGCAAAGUUUUGCACGUAUUUGUUAAAGGUACUUGUGCACCAACACUCUCCUUGGAUUUCUGCCUAUCUCCAGUACAUCUACCCAGCUAGGGCAACUAGUGACUGUGGGGAACCCUGGAGCAGGUCUCCUCAGUUUUCUGCAACAGACUUGCGUCAAAUGAAUCGCAUGCUAUUUAAAUUUUUGUCACUUACAUUGGUGCACUGGAAGACACAUUAGUCCCUGCAUACAAUUCAUGAAAGCACUGCGUAUCUUGACAGCGCUAUAUAAAUAAAUGAUGAUGAAAACUCACCACAUGGCAGCAAUGGCACAUGAUUUAAAGGAGACCUAAAGCCUAAAUAAAGAAGUAGACUAGAAAUGUUGUACAUUA
Long non-coding RNA from Xenopus laevis (African clawed frog), 1221 nucleotides. RefSeq lists it as uncharacterized. The transcript is spliced from 3 exons. The record is from RefSeq and is a predicted model, not a curated record. NCBI's taxonomy places the organism in Eukaryota, Metazoa, Chordata, Amphibia, Anura, Pipidae.